CUUUGAUUCUUUUACACCCUAAUUGCUUGGCAUUUAUAAUGGGGAGACAGGAACCAGGGUCCUUGGGAGAGAUGGCCAAGUGUGGUCCAAUGUGGCUGGCCUCAACUGGACUGGCUUUUGUCCCUUGCUAGGCCACAGGAAGAGCCAAUUUCUGAAUCAGGAGCAAAAUAUUUUCUAGAAGUUAUUACAUGGCAGCUCUGAGGAAAAAAUUCUUUGACCUUCUAGUCAAAUCAUGAAAUUAAGAUUACUCCAGCAAUGUAUCCCAGUGGCAACACUUCAUCUUCAUUCACGCUCCUCGGCAGCCCAGCCUUUACAUGGGUCGCCAGAACAUCUCUCCGAGGUAUUGACUGUAAAGAGGGAAACCUCCACUGUCCAUAUCCAAACUUCAGAGUAGUGUUUAAAGCAGGCAUAGUAGAGGUAAUGGGAAAGAUAUUAUUGAUUUUAUGUAUGUAAAUAGAGCAUAGUCAACUUGACAAUGCCUCUUUAAAUAAUUGAAAAAUCUGCCUCAGCUGACAGUAGCUCACAAGAUAACGAGGCUGGUUGUGGAAGAACAUGAGUAAUUAGAGAGUGGGGAUUCUUGCCACAUGGAAUUGACCCUUGGGGGCUUGAAGAAAGCAGGAUUUGUGGCUGCUCUGAAAUGCCAGUGGUCUGGUCCAGCAUUCCUCUUGUCAAUACGAACCUUGUGUUUUUAUUGGAAACACGUGUCAAAACAAAACAGUGUUUGAGGCUGCUGCUGAGAGAAGGUGGGCAAGUCCACAGACAGCCAACCUGUUUUUUCUGCUUGUUUCCAAACAUACCCUGCCACACUGCCCGUCACAUUCAAAUGGAGGGAAAGAUGACAACGUAACCUCUUGCUGAAAUGCAUCUGUCUCUGGGUGAAGCACUACUAUUUAACUCAACCACAGAAGCAAAACAGAUCUAGGCCUUAGACAAAGAAGCAAAAUCAGGAAAGAAUUGGAUGGAGAAGAAGAAUUUGACUUGGGAGUGAACUCUUCAGAAAGUAGCGUGAGAUCUUCAAGAAAGCAGAGGAAUCGGAGCUCAUUGCAUGUGAAUUGCCUAAACUGCAUGUGAGCUUUAAGGAGAACAGUAAUGAAAGAAUAAAGUGGCUUACAAGCUACA
RNAcentral lists this long non-coding RNA (1119 nucleotides) under Anser brachyrhynchus (Pink-footed goose). RNAcentral's name for it is "lncRNA (ENSABRG00000021598.1)". The record is from RNAcentral. Lineage: Eukaryota; Metazoa; Chordata; Aves; Anseriformes; Anatidae.